RNAcentral lists this transfer RNA (73 nucleotides) under Spirochaetota bacterium. RNAcentral describes it as "Spirochaetes bacterium tRNA-OTHER". It matches the Rfam family "tRNA". From Rfam's summary of the family: Transfer RNA (tRNA) molecules are approximately 80 nucleotides in length. Their secondary structure includes four short double-helical elements and three loops (D, anti-codon, and T loops). Further hydrogen bonds mediate the characteristic L-shaped molecular structure. tRNAs have two regions of fundamental functional importance: the anti-codon, which is responsible for specific mRNA codon recognition, and the 3' end, to which the tRNAs corresponding amino acid is attached (by aminoacyl-tRNA synthetases). tRNAs cope with the degeneracy of the genetic code in two manners: having more than one tRNA (with a specific anti-codon) for a particular amino acid; and 'wobble' base-pairing, i.e. permitting non-standard base-pairing at the 3rd anti-codon position. Lineage: Bacteria; Pseudomonadati; Spirochaetota. The record is from RNAcentral.
GAAUGUGUAUCUCAGUUGGCAGAGCGCCGUCGAAAGGCGGAGGUCGGAGGUUCGAUCCCUUCCACGUUUCUCA